CACACCAUUACUGACAAACCGGUCAUGCUGGAGGAUGUUGCAGGCAGCAGAAUGUUCUUCACAGUGUCUCCAGACUGUCAUGUCUGUCGACUGUGCUCAGUGUGAACCUGCUUUCGUCUGUGAAGAGCACAGGGCGCAAGUGGCGAAUUUGCCAAUCUUGGUGUUCUCUGGCAAAUGCCAAACGUCCUGCACAGUGUUGGGCUGUAAGCACAACCCCCACCUGUGGACAUUGGGCCCUCAUGUUUCUGACCAUUUGAGGAGACACAUGCACAUUUGUGGCCUGCUGGAGGUCAUUUUGCAGGGCUCUGGCA
This is a non-coding RNA of Pelobates cultripes (western spadefoot toad), 311 nucleotides long. The record is from the annotation of a GenBank genome assembly. Lineage: Eukaryota; Metazoa; Chordata; Amphibia; Anura; Pelobatidae.